RNAcentral lists this long non-coding RNA (241 nucleotides) under Elaeis guineensis (African oil palm). Its description in RNAcentral is "long non-coding RNA (EGUI_LNC082963)". Lineage: Eukaryota; Viridiplantae; Streptophyta; Magnoliopsida; Arecales; Arecaceae. The record is from RNAcentral.
GCAGGGUCAUGUUUCGUGUGGAUGCUAGCUCCGGAUGUCGAUCUUUCCGAAGAAAUUCAUUCGUAGUUAUCUGAGAGCCUUUGAAAUCUUUAUAUCUUUUUUCUUAAAGCAUACAUAUAUAUAGAUAAAAAAAUAAUAAAAUUUAUGCUUCAUAAUCAUGCAACGUUUUAUAAAAUACAUUCAUGCAAUCAAUGCUCAUAAUAAAACAUGCUUUUUCAUAUCACAUAUGCUGAUUCUUAUU